GAUGAACGCUGGCUACAGGCUUAACACAUGCAAGUCGAGGGGAAACGACGGGGAAGCUUGCUUCCCCGGGCGUCGACCGGCGCACGGGUGAGUAACGCGUAUCCAACCUGCCUCUGACUGAGGGAUAACCCGUCGAAAGUCGGCCUAAUACCUCAUGGUAUCGUCUGCGGGCAUCCAACGACGAUUAAAGAUUUCAUCGGUCAGGGAUGGGGAUGCGUCUGAUUAGCUUGUUGGCGGGGUAACGGCCCACCAAGGCUACGAUCAGUAGGGGUUCUGAGAGGAAGGUCCCCCACAUUGGAACUGGGACACGGUCCAAACUCCUACGGGAGGCAGCAGUGAGGAAUAUUGGUCAAGGGGCGAGAGCCUGAACCGGCCAAGUAGCGUGCAGGAAGACGGCCCUAUGGGUUGUAAACUGCUUUUAUGCGGGGAUAAAGUGAGGGACGUGUCCCUCAUUGCAGGUACCGCAUGAAUAAGGACCGGCUAAUUCCGUG
This 491-nucleotide ribosomal RNA is filed under the name uncultured bacterium. Its description in RNAcentral is "partial 16S ribosomal RNA". It matches the Rfam family "Bacterial small subunit ribosomal RNA", at positions 28 to 507 of the family's 1533-position model. The record is from RNAcentral.